GACGAACGCUGGCGGCGUGCUUAACACAUGCAAGUCGAACGGAAAGGCCCUGCUUUUGUGGGGUGCUCGAGUGGCGAACGGGUGAGUAACACGUGAGUAACCUGCCCUUGACUGUGGGAUAACUUCAGGAAACUGGGGCUAAUACCGGAUAGGAGCGCCUGCUGCAUGGUGGGGGUUGGAAAGUUUAGGCGGAUGGGGAUGGACUCGCGGCUUAUCAGCUUGUUGGUGGGGUAGUGGCUUACCAAGGCUUUGACGGGUAGCCGGCCUGAGAGGGUGAACGGCGACAUUGGGACUGAGGUACGGCCCAGACUCCUACGGUAGGCAGCAGUGGGGAAUCUUGUACAACGGGCGGGAGUGUGUUGCGGAGAUGCUGCGUGCGGGAUGACGGCCUUCGUGUUGUAAACCGCUUUCGCCUGUGACGAAGCGUGUGUGACGGUAAUGGGUAAAGAAGCACCGGCUAACUACGUG
Molecule: ribosomal RNA, 468 nt
Filed under: uncultured bacterium
Lineage: Bacteria
Description: partial 16S ribosomal RNA
Rfam family: Bacterial small subunit ribosomal RNA
Source: RNAcentral